This 72-nucleotide transfer RNA is filed under the name Bos taurus (domestic cattle). It matches the Rfam family "tRNA". From Rfam's summary of the family: Transfer RNA (tRNA) molecules are approximately 80 nucleotides in length. Their secondary structure includes four short double-helical elements and three loops (D, anti-codon, and T loops). Further hydrogen bonds mediate the characteristic L-shaped molecular structure. tRNAs have two regions of fundamental functional importance: the anti-codon, which is responsible for specific mRNA codon recognition, and the 3' end, to which the tRNAs corresponding amino acid is attached (by aminoacyl-tRNA synthetases). tRNAs cope with the degeneracy of the genetic code in two manners: having more than one tRNA (with a specific anti-codon) for a particular amino acid; and 'wobble' base-pairing, i.e. permitting non-standard base-pairing at the 3rd anti-codon position. RNAcentral also lists the same sequence under 5 other names. Lineage: Eukaryota; Metazoa; Chordata; Mammalia; Artiodactyla; Bovidae. The record is from Rfam by way of RNAcentral.
UCCCUAAUGGCUCAGAUGGUAAAGAAUCUGCCUGCAAUGCAGGAGACCCAGGUUCGAACCCUGGGUUGGAAA